CUUCUGGAGGCUCUCAGGGAGAAUCCAGUUCAUUGUCCUUUCCAGCAUCCAGAGCCUGCCCACAUUCCUUGGAUGGAAUCUUUCCAACACUCAGACCUCUGUUUCCAUCUUCACAUCUCCUUCUCUAAUUCUGAUUCUCUUGCCUUCCUCUUUCACUUAUAAGGAUCCUUGUGAUUACUUUGGGCCCCUAGAUAAGCCAGAAUAAGCUCGCCAUCUCAAGAUCCUUAACUUAACCACAUCUGCAAAGUCCCUUUUGCUAAGUAAGAAACCCAGUCUAAUCAUGAGAAAAACAGCAGCCAAAUCCCCGUUGACAGACAUCCUACAAAAUAUCUAAUAGAAGACUCUUGAAAACUACCAUGAUCAUCAAAAACAAGGAAAAUUUGAGAAACUCAGUCAAGAGGAGCUUAAGGAGACAUGACAACAAAACGUAUUAUGGUAGUCUGCAACAGAAAAAAAAAGACAGGUACAAAUUAAAGAAAUCUGAAUAAGGCAUUUGUCAAUUAGUAAGCAACACCCUGCAAGAAGUUAACAUGAAUAGAAAGCUGUGUGCAAAGCCCUAGGUAAGCACAGCUUGCAAGAGUCUCACGAUUCAAGGGAGAAUUAACCUUGGAGUACAUGGUCUGAAAGGCAUUAGGACUUCACGUACUAUGACUGAAGAAAAUGGAAGUAUGAGAGAAGGAAAAGAAAGGGAUGCCAGUCUAUCAAGAUGUGAGUUGUGUAAUUCAACGUGACUUUUUCCUGUAUCGUUAAGCUGUGGAGUUAAGUAUGGGGCAGCUAUCCCUGAAGCAAUUUACAUAAAAAUAACUGAUGCACAAGGAGCUGAAGAAGCAUGCAAUAAGUCACCACUUAUUACUCCAGCUUCACCUCAGUUAGAAUGUAAGUCAACUAACUAAAUCUUUUCCACUAGAAAAAUCCAAGCCUCAUAAGAGUUUCAAAAAUCACAAAAGUACUUUAGAAGCCUGUGUUUGCAUUGACAGGAUUUUAAUUACUAUUCACAAAAUGACAUAAAAAAGAUUAAGAUAGGAAAGCUCUUUCUAACAUCAGCAAUUCUAUUUUAUAGACAUAUUUUUUCAGGGCAGAAAAAUCAUAGAAUAUUGACUACAAAUAAUUUGUGCCAGAUAAUUAAGGGUGAAUUAAGGGCUGUGAAAGGCAUUCACACAAAAAGAACACGUUUAUAAGGCUACACAGUUUUCAUUGGAAUUAUAGAGACAGUAAUCUAAUUCAAAGUUUUUUUAAUAAAUUAGCUUGCUAUAAACUAUUCAAAUCCUUGAAACUUAUUUUAUUUGAAGGAAAAUCAGAAAAAUGUUAUAGAGCUAUUAAAUAUGAAUAAAGUAUCUGACAAUUUGUUGUUGAUCCCUAGAGCAUAGGAGAGUUAAGCUGCUAUUGCCCCUGUUAUAGAAAUGUGCUGAGGAAAAGAUUUUAAGAACAUCAUAGAAUUCCCCUUUUUCCUAUUUCCUCUCUAUCAUUAUUGUUUCUCUGUUUUAUAUCAUUUUAAUGUUCAUGUCACUAAUACCAUUCUUUUUUAAUAAACAUCAAGGCAAAAAUUGAAAAAUACCAUGAAAUAUAUAGAUUGUAAAGGUGCCCUUUUUCUGUUGAGUGAUAAAAAAUCAACUUUCUUUGUAAAACUAUCUCCUGAACUACGAAUAUUCACAUUUUCGAGAUGUUCUGUUUUGCACCUUAAUGUUGGCUCUUUUUUUCAGUUAUAGAGACACUCUUUGUUCUAUCACUUAGUAGCUAAAUCUCAAUGUAAGCAUGACUCCUACCUGAGGAAAGUUUCUAUUUAUGUAAUUGAUAUGAAGAGACAUGUUUAGGUUGAAGUUUAUCUAACAAAAUGAUAGAACAGAUGCAAUGUCUCCUUACUCAAUACAGUAUCUUCUGAUUUAUUACAUGCCUUUUAAAAAUUAUUCUUCUAAACAGCUGCAGCUACAAGAAAAAUGCUCAUCAUUCUUAUUCUCAAGACGUUUAAAAAUCUAACAAAGGAAACAAAUAUACAAAAUUGACUGAAAUGCAACAUCAAAAUAGUUGUAAGAGAAGAAUUAACAAAUUCUAUUCAACACAAGGGAUAAACCAAUGAGUUGAUCUAGGGAGAUUAGUAAAUGCUUCACAGAAGUGGAAUUUGAAUGGAGUUUGAAAAAUAAGUAUUAAUUCCAAAAAAAGGUGUGUAAAAAGCCAACGGAGGAAAAAUAAUAAGUAAAUCACUCAUCUGUUGCCAAACUGAAUAAUAGACAGUCCUAUAGUUUAUCCUUGGGAUUGGAGUGACAAAAGAGGAGAGAUGAAAAGAGAUAGAAAAGAUAAAUUGGUAAUACUUGUAUUAUUACGACAAGGAAUUGUAAUCUGUCCUAUCAAUUCAAAGUUUUACAAUUAUUAACAUGCUUUCAGAGAAAAUAUUACACAGAUCCCCACUAUGCAUGAUAGAAAAAAAUGUUCCAAAGACUACUCAGACCUUACAAACCAUUAUUGUUUGGCAGUGUGUACUGUGUACACAUGUGUGUGUGCGUGUGUUUGUGUGUUCGUAUACUGCAGGUACUCGUAGGUGCCCGUGUGCAAGUGCGUAUGUGCAAGAGUGUGUGUGCUAAUCAGUGAAUGUGAGCACAUGUGUAAUUGUGAGAGUGGGCAUAUGUGAGUAUGUGCAUCUGUGAGUGUGUAAGUCGUGAGUAUACAUAUGGGGUGCCUGUGUCAUGUGUAGGAGUGUAUGUAUGUAGGUAUGUGUGUGAGUGUGUAUGUGUGUGAGUUGUGUGGGUGUUGAAUGUGAAUAGCACUAAGUACCUCUUUGGAAUACCACAGUCGUGCAGAACAGAGUGGGAUUAAUACUGAUGUAGGAAAGGGAAAUCAUUCAAGGAAUGGAACCAAGGAAUCUGUAUUUUCAGAUAUAUGUAUCAAGUACAUCGAAGGGAAAAAUAAGGAGUACAGAUUGAAAAUAUAUGGAAGUGGAGGCAUGAGAUGAUGCAAGCCUGAAACACUGAAAUGUUAUUGAGGAUGAACACAAUGGUAUACAUGUUAGGAAUAACAUAAACAUAAUCAAAAACUUUCAGUUCAAUUCCACCUCUGGGAGACUCUCGCCAGAGAUUUGGAGACAGAGUGUGAGGAGAAGCCAUGGCACUCUCUCCCCAUCCACUUUAGGUGGCAUCUCUGGCAGUGACUGUAUGUCCCCUGAGAAGACCCUGCGUUGCUGUAGAAUCCACCAGGCAGCUAAACUUCCUGAGUUCUGGUGAAUCAAGUAUUCCGUCUUUCCCUCAUCAAAUGUUCAUUGAGCACUUCCUAUAUUUCAACUACUAGAAAAAUUUUCUUCUUAAGAGAGUUACUUAGAGGUUAUCAAAUGGAAUCAGAUACAUAGGCACUGGGCUUGGAUGAGACAGCCCAUAGAGAACUUGUAGACAUUGCCUUUCAACUUUGGUUGCACAUCAAUAAUUUUCUUGAGCUUUUGCAACUACACUUCCUGGAGUCCCAUCCAAGAGUUACUACAUAAAAAUUUCUGAGAAUGGGGGUCAAACAAGUUAUUUGAAAAGUCCUGCAGAGGAUAAUAUUUCCAGCAAUUGUAAAGGACCGCUGUGUAGAGAAAAAUAAGAAGAGAGAGAUUAAUCCACUUCGAACACCAGUAAUUAAGUGGGUGAUUGUAUGGUGAGGAUGAAGAUGAAACUGGGAAGGAACAAUGAAGUGAAAGAAAGAGAACUUGAGAGAAUGGAAUCCUAACAAAGCAAGAAGGUCAAAAGUUUCAAAAAUGAAUAGUGAUAAAAAAUAUAUCUUGCAGAGAAUCCAAGAAUUAUGACAAUAAAAUAUAGGUUAAGG
RNAcentral lists this long non-coding RNA (3786 nucleotides) under Equus caballus (horse). RNAcentral's name for it is "lncRNA (ENSECAG00000035498.3)". Lineage: Eukaryota; Metazoa; Chordata; Mammalia; Perissodactyla; Equidae. The record is from RNAcentral.